AGUGAACGCUGGCGGCAGGCCUAACACAUGCAAGUCGAGCGGAUGAAGGGUACGUGCUCCUUGAUUCAGCGGCCGACGGGUGGGUAAGUGCUAGAAAUCUGCCAGUCUGUUGGUUCUAGCGUGCUAAAACAGGCGCUAAUACGCCAUUCGUCCUUACGGAGAACGUGGGGGAUCAGCGGACCUUCCGCUCUCACAUGAGCCUAUGUGGCGAUGUCGGAUUAGCUAGUUGGUGGGGUAAAGGCCUACCAAGGCGACGAUCCGUAGCUGGUCUGAGAGGAUGAUCAGUCACACUGGAACUGAGACACGGUCCAGACUCCUACGGGAGGCAGCAGUGGGGAAUAUUGGACAAUGGGCGCAAGCCUGAUCCAGCCAUGCCGCGUGUGUGAAGAAGGUCUUCGGAUUGUAAAGCACUUUUGGUUGGGAGGAAGGGCAGUAAGUUAAUACCUUGCUGUUUUGACGGUACCCACAGAAUAAGCACCGGCUAACUUCGUG
This 492-nucleotide ribosomal RNA is filed under the name uncultured bacterium. RNAcentral's name for it is "partial 16S ribosomal RNA". It matches the Rfam family "Bacterial small subunit ribosomal RNA", at positions 29 to 507 of the family's 1533-position model. The record is from RNAcentral.